This 70-nucleotide transfer RNA is filed under the name Thoosa mismalolli. RNAcentral describes it as "tRNA-Leu". It matches the Rfam family "tRNA". From Rfam's summary of the family: Transfer RNA (tRNA) molecules are approximately 80 nucleotides in length. Their secondary structure includes four short double-helical elements and three loops (D, anti-codon, and T loops). The record is from RNAcentral. Lineage: Eukaryota; Metazoa; Porifera; Demospongiae; Tetractinellida; Thoosidae.
GAAUGUGAUGAAAGUGGUAAACAUAUUUGACUUAGAAUCAGAGUCUUGCAGGUUCGAGUCCUGUCAUUCU